Triticum dicoccoides is the source of this 1933-nucleotide long non-coding RNA. RefSeq lists it as uncharacterized. NCBI's taxonomy places the organism in Eukaryota, Viridiplantae, Streptophyta, Magnoliopsida, Poales, Poaceae. The record is from RefSeq and is a predicted model, not a curated record. The transcript has 2 exons.
UAGCGUACGUUCCGUUCGUCCCUGCAGGCCCUGCCUCUUCCUAUCCCUCCCUCUCCUGCCGCUGUACCUCACACACACAGUGUCCGGAGCUGGCGAGCCAGGCGAAUCGACACCGGGGUGCGACGAGGCUUCCUACGGCCAUUAAUGGGAGAGGAAGUGCGAUGUGGCUUCGCGCCUCGGCCUCAACUCUCCAGGCGCCGGCGGUGCGAGCGGCACGAUAACGACCACCAUCGGAGGCCUCUGGAGACAGAAUCUACACCGUGGAUGCCCUUUUUCCUUUCCUCCCGUCGAGGUAUGAUGCUGCCGUAAAUCUUACUCCGUAGAUUGGCUGAUGAGGAUCGUGUUCCUCCAUUCCUUCUGUGCAGAUUUCUCAACCCGGAUCGCUAAAUUAAUUGUGUCUAACCUUAAAUUGUGCUUAGAUCCGUUGAGGAGAUUUUUCUUUUCUUUUGUUUGGGUAGUGCCCGUUCACCACUAUGAUAUGGAUUCUCCUACUAUCAAUUAGGAAUCACUUAUAUAUAACAUAUGAACAUGAAUUUAUCUUGUAUUACGCCUCUGUUGGUUUGAGUUCGUUUGUCGACAAUUCCUUCAUUAAAUCGCAGUUUCUACAUGCCAUUACUGGUAAUCAUAUGUGCUGCUCGAGUUCUCCUAUAAUCGCAGGUCAGUUACAUCGUCGAUUCAUGCCGUCUUAUCCCGCAGCCAUGAUUGAUGCUUACUUGUCUUGCCCAUGGACUGUCUAACUUACUUCCUAUCUCUCCUUUUCCCCAAACUUGUGCAUAUCCAUUUUCUUAUUUAGACUAUUCUUUUUGUUCCAAAAUGAAUGCAGGUUUUUAAGCUGGUUGGAGCUUGUGGUUUGCUCUUUCCUGGUUCUGCUUGAUUAAAAGGUGAACCACUGCUUUGAAGUUGAUGAUUUGUGGGCUGACUGUUCAUUUUGAAUCUUAUUAAUUUCUAUCUGCAAAAUCAUAUGUCAGUACUUGCCUAGAUGACCUGCACUCAACAAGGAAGAUAAAAUAUGUGUUUGAGCUAUGGGAGUUAAAAUUAAUUGUGCAUGAGAUCUGUUGUUUUUUCAUACUCUGAAUUAUUGGUGAAGGUCAGGUCAGUACUAAUCCUAUAAUUUAAUUGUGUUUCUCUUGGUUCAUAGAUGUUCAAAUCUGAAUUAUUUGACUCAAUUCAGUUUUUCUGAAUGUUGUCUACAAAAUUGCAUCACUACAGUAUGCGAAUUCACUAUGCAUCAGUUUUCAGAAAGACAACUUAUGAAUAUGACGCGUCUCCAUUUCAGUACGAGUUUGAAUUUGGAGGCACUAAAUAUUUCUAUAUGACUUGUAUCACAUCAGUGGUUGGCUUACAAGUUAUUUAGUGAUUACUUCCAGACUGGUCCAUACAAGUUCACCGUUUCUUCAUGUUUUUGGUUAAGAUAUUUGACUACUAAGCUCCCUUUAAAUAAACUGGUUGUGCAGCGUCAUUGACUAUCCAAAUUUAAACAUGCACAUCUUCAAAUGCAUUUGUAAACCUUUGAUGAUUCUCCUCGAUGCAACCAAUUCAUGGGCACUUUCCUGCCCUCGACGUCUGCAGUUGUGCUGACGAAGUUUGAAUACUAAUCUGAAGUAUUUGUGUUGUCGUGAGAAGAAAUGUAGAGAAGUGAUCAAUGAGCGGCUCAAGGUGCUGCAGAACCUUAUCCAUAACGGAACCAAUGUGGAAAUCAGCAUGAUGAAGUUCACUACAUCAAGUUCAUGCAACUCUAGAUCAUAUCGGGUUCUUGCAAAAUUACAAUCACAUAUUACCUUUAUUUAAUUAAGAAUCUCGUGAUCUCUUUCAUGACUGCAUUUUUUUAUCUUUAGAAAUUUUUCUAUGCAAAUUAUACAUUCUAUUGUAAAAUGAGACAGGCAUGGCAACAUGCACUACUUUGAGGCGACACUUCAUGAAAUUUAAUUUUUCA